Non-coding RNA from Camelina sativa (false flax), 543 nucleotides. NCBI's taxonomy places the organism in Eukaryota, Viridiplantae, Streptophyta, Magnoliopsida, Brassicales, Brassicaceae. The record is from RefSeq and is a predicted model, not a curated record.
GUUCUCUCUAUCAAACGAAGCAGUAUAUCCCCAUUCAUCUCCUGGUAAAGGACCCAAGUUGCAUAUCUCAAUAGCAAGAAGGUCACCUGGCUUAGCUGCAACACCCUCCUCAUCCACAACCCUAAUCGGCCCACUUAGAGCCAUUGUCUUUGACAACACCUCCCAUAGCAUCAAUCAUUUCCACCCUGAAAAACUCACCAGCCUUAACCUCUGCUACUGGUGGUAUCUCAGGAUGCCAUCUAUUAUGCAGUGGCUGGUUCUGUUGCCAUGGUUUCUUAUUCAAAUCCACCUUCACCACUACUCUUGGACUCGGUGGAGCCAUCUCAAUAUGCAGGAUUCCUUAUCUAUCCACAACAAAAAGACAGUAAAAAGUUGCAUCAUUUCACUGUCUCGCAAGGACUUCUUCUCUUUCUAAAACUGACUUUGUUUUUAUCUUAACCAAGUGGAUAGCAUCAUGAGAUACAUGUGUCUCCGUCUCGCUGUGUGUGGCAAUGCAUGGAAGUCAAAAAGUUGAAAAUGACAUUUUGUGACUUAUAUUGUGAA